UUUGCACCUGCUGAAAAAAACAGACAAAGCUUUACCUUCGCUUCGUUUAUCGUUUGUAUUCUGCUGUUUUCAAAGCAAUCAUGGCGUGUCAGAGCUGCUAUAAUACACUUCCUUCUUGUUCAGAUUUGUGUAACCGCGAACGGGACCUUGUUUCUUUUUUGCAGAAUCAUCUGGUGCUUCCCGGACCCGUCGUCUGCCCCACGUGCAAGAAGGAUUGAUACCUUGCACGAGAAGACGCCCGACUUCGUUUUAGAUGCCAGCGUCAGGUGAAAGUACCGAAAACUAGGAAGACGUGCUCGUUCUCUGUUACAGCAAAGAAGCGGAACUUCUUCGAGGGAUCUCAUCUGGACGUCCCAACCGUGUGUCGAUUCAUUGCGCGCUGGCUCAUGGUUCACCAUCCGAAGAAGAGGUUUAUCAUGGAAGAGCUGCAAGUUUCGUCCAGGACCUUCGUCGACUGGAGCAGUUUCUGUCGAGAGGUAUGUAUGGAUUAUUUAACACGUCGUUUUGUUCUUUUAGGUGGAAAAGUAGUAACCGUUGAGAUCGACGAAGCGAAGAUCGGCAAGAGGAAGAGGAAGAAUCUUCGGAGGGUACGAGCGAGGCUCGGGCAACGUUUUCAUCGUUCCAGUUCCGGAUCGAACCACGGAUACCUUGCUUGAGCUUAUACGAGAGCACAUACGACCUGGCAACACUAUCAUUUCCGAUUGUUGGCGCUCUUACCAGUGUUUAGGUACCGAAGGCUUCCGUCACCUCACCGUUAACCACAGCUUGACCUUCGUGGAUCCCGACACAGGCGCGCACACCCAAAACAUCGAGAGGCUGUGGAGAGGAGGAGGAGAAAUUCCACGAUAUGGUCGCAGAGAGGCGCAUAUGUCAGGGUAUCUUGCGGAAUUCUUGUUUAAGCGUGCAGUUGUAACGAAGCACCCGGAAUUUCCCCAUUUAGUUUGCCGUUUACAAAGAACACCCGGUAUAGUAACGACUGGUUUGGGCUUCGUUACGCAAGAAGACCGCGAUAUUUUUGUAACCACCGAA
Molecule: long non-coding RNA, 1029 nt
Organism: Photinus pyralis (common eastern firefly)
Lineage: Eukaryota; Metazoa; Arthropoda; Insecta; Coleoptera; Lampyridae
Exons: 2
Source: RefSeq, a predicted model, not a curated record